UACGUAGGGGGCAAGCGUUGUCCGGAUUUAUUGGGCGUAAAGAGCGUGUAGGCGGCCAUUCAGGUCAGCUGUGAAAACUCGAGGCUCAACCUCGAGACGUCGGUUGAAACCGUUUGGCUAGAGUCCGGAAGAGGAGAGUGGAAUUCCCGGUGUAGCGGUGAAAUGCGCAGAUAUCGGGAAGAACACCCGUGGCGAAGGCGGCUCUCUGGGACGGUACUGACGCUGAGACGCGAAAGCGUGGGGAGCGAUCCGG
This 253-nucleotide ribosomal RNA is filed under the name uncultured bacterium. RNAcentral's name for it is "partial 16S ribosomal RNA". It matches the Rfam family "Bacterial small subunit ribosomal RNA", at positions 524 to 776 of the family's 1533-position model. The record is from RNAcentral.